GGAGAUUUAUUUUAUUUAAAAUAUAAAUUUUGCGUAUUUAAGAAUUUGUUUCC
RNAcentral lists this transfer RNA (53 nucleotides) under Dracunculus medinensis (Guinea worm). Its description in RNAcentral is "partial tRNA-Ala". Lineage: Eukaryota; Metazoa; Nematoda; Chromadorea; Rhabditida; Dracunculidae. The record is from RNAcentral.